This 631-nucleotide unclassified non-coding RNA is filed under the name Hevea brasiliensis (rubber tree). Lineage: Eukaryota; Viridiplantae; Streptophyta; Magnoliopsida; Malpighiales; Euphorbiaceae. The record is from RNAcentral.
AGCUUGAAUGUAAAGGGUGUGAUCCCUUGCUUGUUUCUUACUUCUCAUAUUUAUAUAUGGCGUAAAAACCAUCAAUUCAGAGUCUUAGAGGCCUCAGAAGUCUUCCCAAGUCAUGCGAAUAAAGUUAGAGUCUGUACUAGCGCAUAGUACGUGACUCAUGUACAAUUACAUGGAUCAAGGCCAUGUAAGUCUUUAGAAGUAUGAAACGGCUCUCAAUUAGAGGUAUAAGAAGUUACAUAGGCCAAGGACCAUUACACGAAAUCCUGUACAUAGCUCAUGUAUCGGUCCUUCCCUGGCAGCAGGUUGCAUGAGUCAAGACCUCCAUUGCACAAGCUAUGCAAUUCUCCCAGUGGUCGACUUGUACUUUUUCACUUUCGAACUUGUUCAAUCAUGUUGCAUCAAAUUACCUUAAAAUACUAAUAUAAUACAAGUGUAUCACAUAGCCACUGCAUGCUGAUCAUUAUUCCAUUGCUAUUUAGAAUCGAACGAUCGAGGAUGAUAUUGUGUGAUAGUGGGAUGUCAAAAAUCGUGAAUUUUGUGUAAAUCUCUCUCUUGAAUCCUUUGUUGCAUAAGAUCAUUGCUAGAUUUACAGUUUCGAGUAUGGGAAUUAUCUUAUCUCUAAGGCUGACCA